GGGCGGCCGCGCUUCAGGCCGGGCCGCGCGGUCUCCCCUGCACCGCCGCCCCCUGGACGAGGGCUGGACCCAAGGCGGUGGUCAGGGACCUCAGAACACAAGUAGAACCAGUCCAGGCCCGGGCCCGCGCUGCCCGGGUAUGGUCCACCAAACGAGCCUUCUCUUUAAGGGUCUCGAGAAGGGCCCCACGCUGGGGGACCCCACUGCAGAACUUUUCGUGAGGGCUGCAAGGAGGGCCGCGUUGUAAAAUAAAGAGGAGACACGAAGCGGCAUCCCCUGAGGGUUGGGGAUCGGGCCGUGAGGAUGGAGUUGGGACAGGCCUUUUUGCUUUGGUAGUUGUAGGGGUUGCAUUGGAAGAUGGGCCAGCGGCAGAGCGGAGCAUGCAGGAAAGAGGAAGAGGCCUUGGACCUGCAGCCCAGGGGUUUGGGUGGGGGGAUUCCUACCUCAGUGAUCCCUGCUGAGCCUGGCUGUUGUCUGUGGUCCAGAAGGUUCCUUUACCUGACUCACUCCUCUCAGAUCAUGUCCAAAUACCAGGAGACUGACCCAGGUCCUCACCAGGUGAGUAGAGGUCUGGCUCUGAGCGACAUUAAGGAAAAGACACAGACAGAGACUGUUUUCUCUUUGGGUCUUCACAUUCAGUGAGUACAGUUCAGAAGUGUUCUUAACUGAGAGAAGCCCCUUUUGGGGAAAAUUUUUCUUUACUGUUGACUCCUUUUUCCUGCUAUGCUUCACUUUUCCGGCAUUUUAAAUUAGUUUGUUUUAAUUAUGAGUAGACUACAUCUACACAGUAAAUAGUCAAACAGAAAUAGGAUAGAAAAUGAAAAGUAAAGGUCUCUCU
Molecule: long non-coding RNA, 838 nt
Filed under: Homo sapiens (human)
Lineage: Eukaryota; Metazoa; Chordata; Mammalia; Primates; Hominidae
Description: non-protein coding lnc-TSC22D1-2:1
Source: RNAcentral